Non-coding RNA from Acanthosepion pharaonis, 98 nucleotides. The record is from the annotation of a GenBank genome assembly. NCBI's taxonomy places the organism in Eukaryota, Metazoa, Mollusca, Cephalopoda, Sepiida, Sepiidae.
GUUGAAACACCAGUUCCCCUAUGAUCAACAAAGUUAAACAAUGUCAGGCCUGGCCAGUACCUAGAUGGGUGACCGCUUGGGAAUACUAGAUGCUGUAA